This 1345-nucleotide ribosomal RNA is filed under the name uncultured bacterium. RNAcentral's name for it is "partial 16S ribosomal RNA". It matches the Rfam family "Bacterial small subunit ribosomal RNA", at positions 28 to 1381 of the family's 1533-position model. The record is from RNAcentral.
GACGAACGCUGGCGGCGUGCUUAACACAUGCAAGUCGAACGGAAAGGCCCUGCUUUUGUGGGGUGCUCGAGUGGCGAACGGGUGAGUAACACGUGAGUAACCUGCCCUUGACUUUGGGAUAACUUCAGGAAACUGGGGCUAAUACCGGAUAGGAGCUCCUGCUGCAUGGUGGGGGUUGGAAAGUUUCGGCGGUUGGGGAUGGACUCGCGGCUUAUCAGCUUGUUGGUGGGGUAGUGGCUUACCAAGGCUUUGACGGGUAGCCGGCCUGAGAGGGUGACCGGCCACAUUGGGACUGAGAUACGGCCCAGACUCCUACGGGAGGCAGCAGUGGGGAAUAUUGCACAAUGGGCGGAAGCCUGAUGCAGCAACGCCGCGUGCGGGAUGACGGCCUUCGGGUUGUAAACCGCUUUCGCCUGUGACGAAGCGUGAGUGACGGUAAUGGGUAAAGAAGCACCGGCUAACUACGUGCCAGCAGCCGCGGUGAUACGUAGGGUGCGAGCGUUGUCCGGAUUUAUUGGGCGUAAAGGGCUCGUAGGUGGUUGAUCGCGUCGGAAGUGUAAUCUUGGGGCUUAACCCUGAGCGUGCUUUCGAUACGGGUUGACUUGAGGAAGGUAGGGGAGAAUGGAAUUCCUGGUGGAGCGGUGGAAUGCGCAGAUAUCAGGAGGAACACCAGUGGCGAAGGCGGUUCUCUGGGCCUUUCCUGACGCUGAGGAGCGAAAGCGUGGGGAGCGAACAGGCUUAGAUACCCUGGUAGUCCACGCUGUAAACGGUGGGUACUAGGUGUGGGGUCCAUUCCACGGGUUCCGUGCCGUAGCUAACGCUUUAAGUACCCCGCCUGGGGAGUACGGCCGCAAGGCUAAAACUCAAAGGAAUCGACGGGGCCCCGCACAAGCGGCGGAGCAUGCGGAUUAAUUCGAUGCAACGCGUAGAACCUUACCUGGGUUUGACAUGGAUCGGGAGUGCUCAGAGAUGGGUGUGCCUCUUUUGGGGUCGGUUCACAGGUGGUGCAUGGCUGUCGUCAGCUCGUGUCGUGAGAUGUUGGGUUAAGUCCCGCAACGAGCGCAACCCUUGUUCACUGUUGCCAGCACGUUAUGGUGGGGACUCAGUGGAGACCGCCGGGUCAACUCGGAGGAAGGUGGGGAUGACGUCAAGUCAUCAUGCCCCUUAUGUCCAGGGCUUCACGCAUGCUACAAUGGCUGGUACAGAGAGUGGCGAGCCUGUGAGGGUGAGCGAAUCUCGGAAAGCCGGUCUCAGUUCGGAUUGGGGUCUGCAACUCGACCUCAUGAAGUCGGAGUCGCUAGUAAUCGCAGAUCAGCAACGCUGCGGUGAAUACGUUCCCGGGGCU